Molecule: ribosomal RNA, 429 nt
Filed under: Gemmatimonadota bacterium
Lineage: Bacteria; Pseudomonadati; Gemmatimonadota
Description: Gemmatimonadetes bacterium partial 16S ribosomal RNA
Rfam family: Bacterial small subunit ribosomal RNA
Source: RNAcentral
UAGGGAAUCUUCGGCAAUGGACGAAAGUCUGACCGAGCAACGCCGCGUGAGUGAAGAAGGUUUUCGGAUCGUAAAACUCUGUUGUUAGAGAAGAACAAGGACGUUAGUAACUGAACGUCCCCUGACGGUAUCUAACCAGAAAGCCACGGCUAACUACGUGCCAGCAGCCGCGGUAAUACGUAGGUGGCAAGCGUUGUCCGGAUUUAUUGGGCGUAAAGCGAGCGCAGGCGGUUUCUUACGUCUGAUGUGAAAGCCCCCGGCUCAACCGGGGAGGGUGAUUGGAAACUGGGAGACUUGAGUGCAGAAGAGGAGAGUGGAAUUCCAUGUGUAGCGGUGAAAUGCGUAGAUAUAUGGAGGAACACCAGUGGCGAAGGCGGCUCUCUGGACUGUAACUGACGCUGAGGAUCGAAAGCGUGGGGAGCAAACAGG